AAAAAAAAAAAAAAAAAAUUGCACGUGAGUACUAUUCAAGUAUCGCGAAGAGACAUUCACGUAGUACUUGUAUCCGCUGAGUUUCAAAAACUGUAAAAAAAAAAACCGUCAAAAAAAUCCCAAGCUCCACGUGAUCCAAGCAGGAGAAUAUAAGAAAAGUACUUACACAGUCACCUGGGAAUUCUCGUGACAAUAAGAUAAAAUGGAGAGAAGGCUUUCGCGAGGUUUCGAGCAAUAAAUAAACUUGAAAAAAAAAAAGAGGGCUCAGCCGGGAUUUGAACCCGGGACCUCUCGCACCCAAAGCGAGAAUCAUACCCCUAGACCACUGAGCCAAGAUGAUAAAAACUACAACUCUGGUGAUAAUAUAUUGAUACCAAUACAUGGGUAAAAAAUACACUACUGCCCCCUCAGUGAAUAAUAAGUCACAGUGAUACAAUAUUAAAAGGAAGUGUGUCCUGGCAUCUACUCUCCCAAGUGAAAGUGGCCAAAAAUCACGUAGCUAACCAAGAGACUGGGCCUCCCGUCCUUUCUCAAGCAGCGAUGGGGCAGCCAAAGCCCAAGUACGAGUUCUGGCCUCAACUUUGACUUCAAGCCUGAAGAAUUGGCAGCUAUAGAAGAAUGCUAUAAGCUCUAUGAUAAGAAUGACUUAAUAAGGAUUUACAAAGAAGAAACCUCGAGACGCCAAAUUAAUUUGCUAUCAGCUGCUGGCGAGAUCACUGAUAACAUAUGCGGCUCCUGUGCUGUGGCAUAUGGGGCCUACAGUCAUGGAAAAAUUUAGCAGACUAGAUCCAUGCUGUCAUGUGUCAGACUGUAUAGAACCGCUGAAACCAGGAGAGAAUCGGCAACGGAAAAAUCUACAGGGAAGCCAAUAUCACUAGAAUAGACUGUUUCUAUUUGAAACUCUGCAGAAACUACUAUUAAAGCUUCGGAAACAUCGACAAUCCGAUAAUGGACAAUCUAGUGUGCCAAGACGAAGCAGAAAGCAGAAGCAAAUGCCCGACAGGGCCAGUACAGCCCAAAAACGUGCAUAUCCUGUGACAAACAGGGAGUACUUCAAAAUAAGUAAAAUCUCCCUAUCGUAUACCACGAAAAAAAGACACUGUACCCACUAAAGAAUCAACCUGAAAUACGACGACUACGAAAACUUUAUUUUCUCUACGGCACUCCCUAGAGUCGAUGCCAAUGGCAAACAGAGAUUAACCAAAGAAUACUGGUGGGUCAGAGAGCGAUGCCAAACACCUUGACGAAAUCCGACGGAGAAUCAUCAGGAAAUAAUAGACCCACGGGAAGAAAACUUACUAUAGCUAUCUGAAUUAGGAGCCCAUGCACAGUGUCAUUGCUAAUUAAUAUAUUUAAUUAAUACAUUAAUAAGCAUGUAAA
This is a long non-coding RNA of Cephus cinctus (wheat stem sawfly), 1380 nucleotides long. RefSeq lists it as uncharacterized. NCBI's taxonomy places the organism in Eukaryota, Metazoa, Arthropoda, Insecta, Hymenoptera, Cephidae. The record is from RefSeq and is a predicted model, not a curated record. The transcript is spliced from 2 exons.